GUAAGUGUUUAAGGGCGCAUGGUGGAUGCCUUGGCAUCGAGAGCCGAUGAAGGACGUGGGAGGCUGCGAUAUGCCUCGGGGAGCUGUCAACCGAGCAUUGAUCCGAGGAUUUCCGAAUGGGGAAACCCAGCACGAGUGAUGUCGUGUUACCCGUAUCUGAAUAUAUAGGGUGCGGGAGGUAACGCGGGGAAGUGAAACAUCUCAGUACCCGUAGGAGAAGAAAACAAUUGUGAUUCCGUCAGUAGUGGCGAGCGAACGCGGAACAGGCUAAACCGCACGCAUGUAUAACCGGGUAGGGGUUGUGUGCGCGGUGUUGUGGGAGUGAUAUGUCUCAGCUCUACCUGGCUGAGGGGUAGUCAGAAAGUGUCGUGGUUAGCAGAAAUGGCCUGGGAUGGUCUGCCGUAGACGGUGAGAGCCCGGUACGCGAAAACCCGACACCUACCUUGUAUCAGUUCCCGAGUAGCAGCGGGCCCGUGGAAUCUGCUGUGAAUCUGCCGGGACCACCCGGUAAGCCUAAAUACUUCUCGAUGACCGAUAGCGGAUUAGUACCGUGAGGGAAUGGUGAAAAGUACCCCGGGAGGGGAGUGAAAUAGUACCUGAAACCGUGUGCCUACAAUCCGUCAAAGCCUCCUCGUGGGGUGAUGGCGUGCCUUUUGAAGAAUGAGCCUGCGAGUCAGGGACACGUCGCGAGGUUAACCCGUGCGGGGUAGCCGCAGCGAAAGCGAGUCUGAAUAGGGCGCAUCCCCUUUGGGGUGUAGUGGCGUGUUCUGGACCCGAAGCGGAGUGAUCUACCCAUGGCCAGGGUGAAGCGCGGGUAAGACCGCGUGGAGGCCCGAACCCACUUAGGUUGAAGACUGAGGGGAUGAGCUGUGGGUAGGGGUGAAAGGCCAAUCAAACUCCGUGAUAGCUGGUUCUCCCCGAAAUGCAUUUAGGUGCAGCGUUGCGUGGUUCACCACGGAGGUAGAGCUACUGGAUGGCCGAUGGGCCCUACUAGGUUACUGACGUCAGCCAAACUCCGAAUGCCGUGGUGUAAAGCGUGGCAGUGAGACGGCGGGGGAUAAGCUCCGUACGUCGAAAGGGAAACAGCCCAGAUCGCCGGCUAAGGCCCCUAAGCGUGUGCUAAGUGGAAAAGGAUGUGUAGUCGCAGAGACAACCAGGAGGUUGGCUUAGAAGCAGCCACCCUUGAAAGAGUGCGUAAUAGCUCACUGGUCAAGUGAUUAUGCGCCGAUAAUGUAGCGGGGCUCAAGCACACCGCCGAAGCCGCGGCACAUUCACUUUUACGGUGAGUGUGGGUAGGGGAGCGUCCCUCAUUCAGCGAAGCCUCCGGGUAACCGGUGGUGGAGGGUGGGGGAGUGAGAAUGCAGGCAUGAGUAGCGAUAAGGCAAGUGAGAACCUUGCCCGCCGUAAGACCAAGGGUUCCUGGGCCAGGCCAGUCCGCCCAGGGUGAGUCGGGACCUAAGGCGAGGCCGACAGGCGUAGUCGAUGGACAACGGGUUGAUAUUCCCGUACCCGUGUAUAGGCGUCCCUGAUGAAUCAGCGGUACUAACCACCCAAAACCGGAUCGACCAUUCCCCUUCGGGGGCAUGGAGUUUCGGGGCUGCGUGGGACCUUCGCUGGUAGUAGUCAAGCGAUGGGGUGACGCAGGAAGGUAGCCGUACCAGUCAGUGGUAAUACUGGAGCAAGCCCGUAGGGAGAGCGAUAGGCAAAUCCGUCGCUCAUUAAUCCCGAGAGGUGAUGCAUAGCCGAUUGAGGCGAAUUCGGUGAUCCUCUGCUGCCAAGAAAAGCCUCUAGCGAGCACAUACACGGCCCGUACCCCAAACCAACACAGGUGGUCAGGUAGAGAAUACCAAGGCGUACGAGAUAACUAUGGUUAAGGAACUCGGCAAAAUGCCCCCGUAACUUCGGGAGAAGGGGGGCCGGAAUACCGUGAACACCCUUGCGGUGGGAGCGGGAUUCGGCCGCAGAAACCAGUGGGUAGCGACUGUUUACUAAAAACACAGGUCCGUGCGAAGUCGCAAGACGAUGUAUACGGACUGACGCCUGCCCGGUGCUGGAAGGUUAAGAGGACCCGUUAACCGUAAGGUGAAGCGGAGAAUUUAAGCCCCAGUAAACGGCGGUGGUAACUAUAACCAUCCUAAGGUAGCGAAAUUCCUUGUCGGGUAAGUUCCGACCUGCACGAAUGGCGUAACGACUUCCCAACUGUCUCAACCAUAGACUCGGCGAAAUUGCACUACGAGUAAAGAUGCUCGUUACGCGCGGCAGGACGAAAAGACCCCGGGACCUUCACUACAACUUGGUAUUGGUGUUCGGUACGGUUUGUGUAGGAUAGGUGGGAGACUGUGAAGUACAGGCGCCAGUUUGUAUGGAGUCGUUGUUGAAAUACCACUCUGAUCGUAUUGGACACCUAACGUCGAACCCUUAUCGGGUUCACGGACAGUGCCUGGCGGGUAGUUUAACUGGGGCGGUUGCCUCCUAAAAUGUAACGGAGGCGCCCAAAGGUUCCCUCAACCUGGACGGCAAUCAGGUGUUGAGUGUAAGUGCACAAGGGAGCUUGACUGUGAGACUUACAAGUCAAGCAGGGACGAAAGUCGGGACUAGUGAUCCGGCACCUCUGAGUGGAAGGGGUGUCGCUCAACGGAUAAAAGGUACCCCGGGGAUAACAGGCUGAUCUUCCCCAAGAGUCCAUAUCGACGGGAUGGUUUGGCACCUCGAUGUCGGCUCGUCGCAUCCUGGGGCUGGAGCAGGUCCCAAGGGUUGGGCUGUUCGCCCAUUAAAGCGGCACGCGAGCUGGGUUUAGAACGUCGUGAGACAGUUCGGUCUCUAUCCGCCGCGCGCGUCAGAAACUUGAGGAAACCUGUCCCUAGUACGAGAGGACCGGGACGGACGAACCUCUGGUAUACCAGUUGUCCCACCAGGGGCACGGCUGGAUAGCCACGUUCGGACAGGAUAACCGCUGAAAGCAUCUAAGCGGGAAACCUUCUCCAAGAUCAGGUUUCUCACCCUUUUAGAGGGAUAAGGCCCCCCGCAGACCACGGGUUCGAUAGGCCAGACCUGGAAGCCCAGUAAUGGGUGCAGGGAACUGGCACUAACCGGCCGAAAACUUACCAACACACAA
Molecule: ribosomal RNA, 3115 nt
Filed under: Mycobacterium arosiense ATCC BAA-1401 = DSM 45069
Lineage: Bacteria; Bacillati; Actinomycetota; Actinomycetes; Mycobacteriales; Mycobacteriaceae
Description: bacterial LSU rRNA
Rfam family: Bacterial large subunit ribosomal RNA
Source: RNAcentral